This 442-nucleotide ribosomal RNA is filed under the name uncultured bacterium. RNAcentral's name for it is "partial 16S ribosomal RNA". It matches the Rfam family "Bacterial small subunit ribosomal RNA", at positions 338 to 795 of the family's 1533-position model. The record is from RNAcentral.
CCUACGGGAGGCAGCAGUAGGGAAUCUUUCACAAUGGGCGAAAGCCUGAUGGAGCAACGCCGCGUGCAGGAUGAAGGCCCUCGGGUUGUAAACUGCUUUUAUAAGCGAGAAAUAUGAUGGUAAUUUAUGAAUAAGGAUCGGCUAAAUACGUGACAGCAGCCGCGGUCAUACGUAGGCUCCGGACAUAAUCCGGAGUGACUGGGGGUAAAGAGUUGCGUAGGUGGGAUUAUAAGUAGCUAGUGAAAUCUGGUGGCUCAACCAUUCAGACGAUUAGCUAAACUGUUAGGCUCGAGACCGUUAGGGGUAACUGGAAUUUCUAGUGUAGGAGUGAAAUCCGUAGAUAUUAGAAGGAACACCAAUAGCGAAGGCAGGUUACUGGGACGGUUCUGACGCUGAGGCACGAAAGCGUAGGGAGCGAACGGGAUUAGAUACCCGGGUAGUC